This 362-nucleotide transfer-messenger RNA is filed under the name Bacteroidota bacterium. It matches the Rfam family "transfer-messenger RNA". From Rfam's summary of the family: Bacterial tmRNA, also known as 10Sa RNA or SsrA, is named for its dual tRNA and mRNA-like properties. Its role is to liberate the mRNA from a stalled ribosome. The record is from RNAcentral. Lineage: Bacteria; Pseudomonadati; Bacteroidota.
GGGGGUGUUUUGGCUUCGACGGGGUCGGGAAUGGAUAGAUUAGCAUACCGUGCACGCCUUUACUCACGUAAAUCAUAGGGCAAAACAAUAAAUGCAGAUAACUACGGUUACGCACUCGCCGCUUAAUUAGCCACGAGCGCCAAUACAGAGUUCUCCUAACGGUUCUGUAACGGCGUCGACUCAGUUAGGAUAGUUGAUGUUUGGUUAAGGUAACGUCAAUGAGAUUUCAAACCCUUGGCUGCGUUUCGGAUGUUUUGAGUUCAGUCGAGAGUCCGGAGCUAAGGUAAAAUACUGAACUAUGUAUGUAGAAGGUCUAUUGGUUUUCACUUCGGACCGGGGUUCGAAUCCCCGCACCUCCACAA